Small nucleolar RNA from Lactuca sativa (garden lettuce), 107 nucleotides. The record is from RefSeq and is a predicted model, not a curated record. NCBI's taxonomy places the organism in Eukaryota, Viridiplantae, Streptophyta, Magnoliopsida, Asterales, Asteraceae.
AGAUCAUGUUGAGGACAAUUCCUUAACAACCCUUUGUAGCACUCCCAGGCUUCGUAUAGUGACUCCCUUGGUUGUUGCUCAAAGUUGGCUAUUGCCUUCUUGAAUUU